This 129-nucleotide small RNA is filed under the name unclassified sequences. RNAcentral's name for it is "LOOT RNA". It matches the Rfam family "LOOT RNA". Rfam says of the family: Latescibacteria, OD1/Parcubacteria, OP11, TM7. The record is from Rfam by way of RNAcentral.
GACCUAACCUCUAGGGGAUUUUCUCUAGAGUAUGGUCAAAAACACAGUGAAGAAUAAAGAACUCCUAGUCAGAGUUUACACUUCACUGUGUCAUAACUGGAAACGGUUAUGGAUGGCUUAAAAACCAUC